RNAcentral lists this long non-coding RNA (1105 nucleotides) under Coturnix japonica (Japanese quail). Its description in RNAcentral is "lncRNA (ENSCJPG00005010895.1)". The record is from RNAcentral. Lineage: Eukaryota; Metazoa; Chordata; Aves; Galliformes; Phasianidae.
AAUAUAUAAAUAACAAAUAAAUGUUAGCAUAUUGUUUAAAAUCUAGUAUGUUUAUUGCUGUCUAUAUAAACAUCAGUCUUUUUUAAUAUGUGUAACAUUUUAUUUUCAGACGAUUUUGCUUCUUCUGCAUGGUGUCUUUAAUUCACUGGUUUAAACAAAAUGGGUUUAGCUGAUGAAGAUAAUUGGGUGCUAAGAAGAAUUGAAAAUAUCUUCAAACAUCUGUCUCUUGAAGUGGAAGUCCUUAAGAAAAACAAGAAGAAAAACACUGAAAUAAACCUGCCUUUCCAUAAAUGCAUUUAGGAGUUGUAGAGCUCUUCAACCUUUUUUUUUCCCCACAUGUUCCACUUUGUCUGAAGCUCCAUGUAUUCUCUAUGGAUGGACUAAGAAGAAAGCUUGAGCAAAACUCUGUCAGCUCUUGGAAACAGCACACAUUAACUGUCAUCUAGAAGAGUACUUGGAUUUAAGGAGGGGACAUCUGCCUGAGAGGCAGCAACACAUGUGGGUGUCCUGCCAGCAAUACUACGUUGGUAUGUCCUCCUGUUAAAAGAAAACCUCUGCGUGCACUUUUGUAAUUGAGGUGUUUCUUAGAAAAGAACACCUUCGGUUCUUGCUAUCCACUCCCAAAUCUUUCUCAAAACUUUCUCUGGCCGUAAUACCUACAAAUGACUUCACAAUGGGGUACUGCAGCCACAGUUUCCUUGCUGGGAUGUUGUCACUUCUUUCUGAAUUCUUUCUGUUGGUAGGUUCCCAUCUGUUGUUUCUUGUCCAAGAUUGAAGUUCUGUGCUGAUGAAAGCAUGUACAUGAGGGCACAGCAAGUAGUAGCCUCAGCAGUACUGGGGCACAGCAUUGUCUUCUCUCUCCUCAGAGGAGCCUUCUCCCCAAGAAAAAGAUGGCUAAGUGGAUGCAAAUUGUAGCAAAAGACAGUGCAGAAGAGUCUUUGGCAUCUAUGGCAGUUCAAAAAAGAUGGCCUCUGUACUGUGUAGGCUUUAAAUCUGUUAUGACUUGACAAGAUGAAGGUCAGGAUUAAGAUCCUUUUCUCCUCCUUUGCCUUAAGGGUGAGGAGGCAGCUACCACCACAUUUCUAAGUCUUUUGAGAAAGAAAAU